UAGAGUGAGGUGCUGAACUUUUCAGUGAUUGUAAUCUGCAUAAUUUCACCGUAGAGGGCCAUUUUUUAAUCAGUUACUUUUAUUGUUUUUUAUUUUUUUUUUUCUUCAUAAAUUUCUUUUUUUAAUUAAUAUCUUUUGCAUAUGAACGUGGAUUUUAAUAAUUUUUGCGCUAUAUAGUUUUUCAAAGAUAAUUAAAACAAGCAUAGUUAUGAUAUAGUGUCA
RNAcentral lists this long non-coding RNA (222 nucleotides) under Linum usitatissimum (flax). RNAcentral describes it as "long non-coding RNA (LUSI_LNC006787)". The record is from RNAcentral. Lineage: Eukaryota; Viridiplantae; Streptophyta; Magnoliopsida; Malpighiales; Linaceae.